This 492-nucleotide ribosomal RNA is filed under the name uncultured bacterium. RNAcentral's name for it is "partial 16S ribosomal RNA". It matches the Rfam family "Bacterial small subunit ribosomal RNA", at positions 29 to 507 of the family's 1533-position model. The record is from RNAcentral.
AGUGAACGCUGGCGGUAGGCCUAACACAUGCAAGUCGAACGGCAGCACAGUAAGAGCUUGCUCUUACGGGUGGCGAGUGGCGGACGGGUGAGGAAUACAUCGGAAUCUACUUUUUCGUGGGGGAUAACGUAGGGAAACUUACGCUAAUACCGCAUACGACCUACGGGUGAAAGCAGGGGAUCUUCGGACCUUGCGCGAUUGAAUGAGCCGAUGUCGGAUUAGCUAGUUGGCGGGGUAAAGGCCCACCAAGGCGACGAUCCGUGGCUGGUCUGAGAGGAUGAUCAGCCACACUGGAACUGAGACACGGUCCAGACUCCUACGGGAGGCAGCAGUGGGGAAUAUUGGACAAUGGGCGCAAGCCUGAUCCAGCCAUACCGCGUGGGUGAAGAAGGCCUUCGGGUUGUAAAGCCCUUUUGUUGGGAAAGAAAAGCAGCAGGUUAAUACCCCGCUGUUCUGACGGUACCCAAGGAAUAAGCACCGGCUAACUUCGUG